RNAcentral lists this ribosomal RNA (570 nucleotides) under uncultured bacterium. Its description in RNAcentral is "partial 16S ribosomal RNA". It matches the Rfam family "Bacterial small subunit ribosomal RNA", at positions 355 to 919 of the family's 1533-position model. The record is from RNAcentral.
UGGGGAAUUUUGGACAAUGGGCGAAAGCCUGAUCCAGCAAUGCCGCGUGUGUGAAGAAGGCCUUCGGGUUGUAAAGCACUUUUGUCCGGAAAGAAAUCCUUGGCUCUAAUACAGUCGGGGGAUGACGGUACCGGAAGAAUAAGCACCGGCUAACUACGUGCCAGCAGCCGCGGUAAUACGUAGGGUGCAAGCGUUAAUCGGAAUUACUGGGCGUAAAGCGUGCGCAGGCGGUUUGCUAAGACCGAUGUGAAAUCCCCGGGCUCAACCUGGGAACUGCAUUGGUGACUGGCAGGCUAGAGUAUGGCAGAGGGGGGUAGAAUUCCACGUGUAGCAGUGAAUGCGUAGAGAUGUGGAGGAAUACCGAUGGCGAAGGCAGCCCCCUGGGCCAAUACUGACGCUCAUGCACGAAAGCGUGGGGAGCAAACAGGAUUAGAUACCCUGGUAGUCCACGCCCUAAACGAUGUCAACUAGUUGUUGGGGAUUCAUUUCCUUAGUAACGUAGCUAACGCGUGAAGUUGACCGCCUGGGGAGUACGGUCGCAAGAUUAAAACUCAAAUGAAUUGACGGGGU